RNAcentral lists this ribosomal RNA (253 nucleotides) under uncultured bacterium. RNAcentral describes it as "partial 16S ribosomal RNA". It matches the Rfam family "Bacterial small subunit ribosomal RNA", at positions 524 to 776 of the family's 1533-position model. The record is from RNAcentral.
CACGUAGGGGGCAAGCGUUGUCCGGAUUUAUUGGGCGUAAAGGGCGCGUAGGUGGCCUUCUAAGUUGAACGUGAAAUCCCUGGGCUCAACCCAGGAACUGCGUCCAAGACUGGGAGGCUUGAAUCCGGGAGAGGGAUGCGGAAUUCCAGGUGUAGCGGUGAAAUGCGUAGAUAUCUGGAGGAACACCGGUGGCGAAGGCGGCAUCCUGGACCGGGAUUGACACUGAGGCGCGAAAGCCAGGGGAGCAAACGGG